This 467-nucleotide ribosomal RNA is filed under the name uncultured bacterium. Its description in RNAcentral is "partial 16S ribosomal RNA". It matches the Rfam family "Bacterial small subunit ribosomal RNA", at positions 28 to 506 of the family's 1533-position model. The record is from RNAcentral.
GACGAACGCUGGCGGCGUGCUUAACACAUGCAAGUCGAACGGAAAGGCCCUGCUUUUGUGGGGUGCUCGAGUGGCGAACGGGUGAGUAACACGUGAGUAACCUGCCCUUGACUUUGGGAUAACUUCAGGAAACUGGGGCUAAUACCGGAUAGGAGCUCCUGCUGCAUGGUGGGGGUUGGAAAGUUUCGGCGGUUGGGGAUGGACUCGCGGCUUAUCAGCUUGUUGGUGGGGUAGUGGCUUACCAAGGCUUUGACGGGUAGCCGGCCUGAGAGGGUGACCGGCCAAAUGGGGACUGAGAUACGGCCCGGACUCCUACGGGAGGCAGCAGUGGGGAAUAUUGCACAAUGGGCGGAAGCCUGAUGCAGCAACGCCGCGUGCGGGAUGACGGCCUUCGGGUGGUAAACCGCUUUCGCCUGUGACGAAGCGUGGGUGACGGUAAUGGGGAAAGAAGCACCGGCUAACUACGU